UGAGUGUAUAAGUGAGUGAGUGAGUGGUGACUGCAGGUGGAGUAUGAGAAUCACGUCCGUUUCCGUGGGGGAGCUUCUCUCCGCCACCGCUCCCCAGUGAAAAUCUUCACCAACAUCAGUGGCCUGCGGAGACUCAAACCACCGGGAGACUACCGGUUCUGUGAGCUGUGUGACUGUUACGUUGCUUCUGAUAAUCGACACUGCACCGCCUGUAACGCCUGCACAUCGAUGGAUGGGAGACAAUGGAACCACUGUGACCUCUGCAAGAAGUGCGUGAAGCAAUCGUGGUGUCAUUGCUUCUCCUGCGGAUUUUGCCAUCUCCCCUCUCACGGCUGCCGCAUCUCCAAUCCUGAGACACGGACAACGGAGACACGGCCAGGGACAACGGAGACACGGCCAGGGACAGCGGAGACACCCCCACGGACAACGGAGACAACGGACUUCCCCCUGUGCCAUCGAUGCUCCAGCCCAGGACACAAACGGAGACACUGUCCCCUGGCCACGCCCACCACCUCGGCCGGGGGCGGGGCCAGGAGGCCACGGGGAGG
Molecule: non-coding RNA, 548 nt
Organism: Petromyzon marinus (sea lamprey)
Lineage: Eukaryota; Metazoa; Chordata; Hyperoartia; Petromyzontiformes; Petromyzontidae
Source: RefSeq, a predicted model, not a curated record